Small nucleolar RNA from Toxotes jaculatrix (banded archerfish), 136 nucleotides. RefSeq annotates it as small nucleolar RNA SNORD94. Lineage: Eukaryota; Metazoa; Chordata; Actinopteri; Toxotidae. The record is from RefSeq and is a predicted model, not a curated record. The transcript has a single exon.
UCUGUGAUGAUGAGAGGCGCAGGGGUACGGACCUCAGCCGGUGAUGGGGGCUGAGUGCUGCCGCAGACUCUGAUCAGAGGACGAGUGGUUCGCUGGCAGACGGCGGCAGCACGAAACAGACGCCGCACUGAACAGA